GCGGCAGGCCUAACACAUGCAAGUCGAGCGCGCCUUUCGGGGUGAGCGGCGGACGGGUUAGUAACGCGUGGGAAUAUGCCCUUUGGUACGGAAUAGCCUCUGGAAACGGAGAGUAAUACCGUAUGAGCCCUUCGGGGGAAAGAUUUAUCGCCAAAGGAUUAGCCCGCGUUAGAUUAGGUAGUUGGUGGGGUAAUGGCCUACCAAGCCUACGAUCUAUAGCUGGUUUUAGAGGAUGAUCAGCAACACUGGGACUGAGACACGGCCCAGACUCCUACGGGAGGCAGCAGUGGGGAAUCUUGGACAAUGGGGGCAACCCUGAUCCAGCCAUGCCGCG
RNAcentral lists this ribosomal RNA (334 nucleotides) under Ruegeria sp. UloCh-05. Its description in RNAcentral is "bacterial SSU rRNA". It matches the Rfam family "Bacterial small subunit ribosomal RNA", at positions 39 to 401 of the family's 1533-position model. The record is from RNAcentral. Lineage: Bacteria; Pseudomonadati; Pseudomonadota; Alphaproteobacteria; Rhodobacterales; Roseobacteraceae.